Molecule: ribosomal RNA, 253 nt
Filed under: uncultured bacterium
Lineage: Bacteria
Description: partial 16S ribosomal RNA
Rfam family: Bacterial small subunit ribosomal RNA
Source: RNAcentral
UACGGAGGGUGCAAGCGUUGUCCGGAUUUAUUGGGCUUAAAGGGUGCGUAGGCGGUCUUGUAAGUCAGUGGUGAAAGCCUCCAGCUCAACUGGAGAACUGCCAUUGAUACUGCAAGGCUUGAGUACAGACGAGGUUGGCGGAAUUGAUUGUGUAGCGGUGAAAUGCAUAGAUACAAUCAAGAACUCCGAUUGCGUAGGCAGCUAACUAGGCUGUAACUGACGCUGAGGCACGAAAGCGUGGGGAGCGAACAGG